UACGUAGGGCGCGAGCGUUGUCCGGAAUUAUUGGGCGUAAAGAGCUCGUAGGCGGCCUGUUGCGUCCGCUGUGAAAUCCCGGGGCUUAACCCCGGGUCUGCAGUGGAUACGGGCAGGCUAGAGGCAGGAAGGGGAGAACGGAAUUCCCGGUGUAGCGGUGAAAUGCGCAGAUAUCGGGAGGAACACCGGUGGCGAAGGCGGUUCUCUGGGCCUGUUCUGACGCUGAGGAGCGAAAGCGUGGGGAGCGAACAGG
RNAcentral lists this ribosomal RNA (253 nucleotides) under uncultured bacterium. RNAcentral describes it as "partial 16S ribosomal RNA". It matches the Rfam family "Bacterial small subunit ribosomal RNA", at positions 524 to 776 of the family's 1533-position model. The record is from RNAcentral.